UUAAGCUAAGAAGAGCGUAGGGAGAAUGCCUUGGCAUUAGGAGCCGACGAAGGACGUGAUAAGCUGCGAUAAGCUGCGGGGAUCAGCAAGUAUGAAUUGAUCCGCAGAUUUCCGAAUGGAGCAAUCCGUAUGUGUAUGCACAUACAUCAUAUACUGAAUCAAAUAGGUAUAUGAGGGGAACCGCCUGAACUGAAACAUCUAAGUAGGGCGAGGAAGAGAAAUCAACCGAGAUUCUGUGAGUAGUGGCGAGCGAAAGCGGAAGAGGCUAAACCAUAGGUAGCAAUACUUAUGGGGUUUCGGACAGCAUUUAGUAUUGAUAAUUUCUAGUUGAAACGUGUGGGAAAACGUACCGAAGAGUGUGAGAGUCACGUAAGCGAAAGAGAGAAUCAGCGAGCUGUAUCCAAAGUACCGCGGGACACGUGAAACCCCGUGGGAAGAUGGGGGGACCAUCCUCCAAGCCUAAAUACUACCUAAUGACCGAUAGCGAAUAGUACUGUGAAGGAACGGUGAAAAGAACCCCGGGAGGGGAGUGAAAAAGAACCUGAAACCCUAUGCUUACAAGCACCGAGAGCACGUCAAAGUGUGAUCGGGUACCUUUUGUAGAAUGGUCCGGCGAGUUAUUGUAUGCGGCAAGGUUAAGUGCUUAAGGCACGGAGCCGAAGCGAGAGCAAGUCUGAAUAGGGCGAAAAAGUCGUAUGCAAUAGACCCGAAACCGAGUGACCUAUCCAUGUCCAGGCUGAAGUGGAGGUAAAACUCCAUGGAGGGCCGAACACACGUCCGUUGAAAAGGCCGGUGAUGAGGUGUGGAUAGCGGAGAAAUUCCAAUCGAACUCGGAUAUAGCUGGUUCUCUCCGAAAUAGCUUUAGGGCUAGCCUCGUGAAAGAUUACUGGAGGUAAAGCACUGAAUGGGCUAGGGGUCGAAAGAUUACUGAACCCUAUCAAACUAAGAAUGCCAGAUAAUUGAUUCACGGGAGUCAGACAAUGUGAGAUAAGUCUCAUUGUCAAAAGGGAAACAGCCCAGACCCACAGCUAAGGUCCCUAAACAUUGUUAAGUGGAAAAGGAUGUGGGGUUGCAUAAACAACCAGGAUGUUGGCUUAGAAGCAGCCACUCAUUAAAAGAGUGCGUAAUAGCUCACUGGUCGAGUGACCCUGCGCCGAAAAUUCAACGGGGCUAAACAAUGUACCGAAGCUUGGGAUUCUAAAGUAAUUUAGAGUGGUAGGAGAGCGUCGAAUAAGGGGUGAAGUCAGAGCGGAAGCGCUGGUGGACUUUAUUCGAGUGAGAAUGCCGGAAUGAGUAGCGAGAAUUAUGUGAGAAUCAUAAUGGCCGAAAAUCUAAGGUUUCCUGAGGAAGGUUCGUCCGCUCAGGGUAAGCCGGGGGCUAAGGCGAGGCGGAGACGCGUAGCCGAUGCACAUACGGUUGAAAUUCCGUAGCCACCGAAAGAUUUAAGUACAGGGACGCUUUAGAAGUGAUGUUGCCGGGCGAUGGUUGACCCGGUCGUAAGGGAUCGAAAAUGAGUAGAGAAGUCAUCAUGGAAAGAGACAAGAAAAGCUGUAUGAAUAUCUUAGGUGCCCGUACCGCAAACCGACACAGGUAGAUAGGAAGAAGAUUCUAAGGCCAACGGGAGAAGGGUUGUUAAGGAACUCGGCAAGUUGACCCCGUAACUUAGGGAUAAGGGGUGCUCAAGUGAUUGAGCCGCAGAGAAUAGGCCCAGGCGACUGUUUAGCAAAAACACAGGUCUCUGCUAAAUCGAAAGAUGACGUAUAGGGGCUGACACCUGCCCGGUGCCGGAAGGUUAAGAGGAGAUGUGAGAGCAUUGAAUUGAAGCCCCGGUAAACGGCGGCCGUAACUAUAACGGUCCUAAGGUAGCGAAAUUCCUUGUCAGGUAA
RNAcentral lists this ribosomal RNA (1886 nucleotides) under human gut metagenome. Its description in RNAcentral is "bacterial LSU rRNA". It matches the Rfam family "Bacterial large subunit ribosomal RNA", at positions 3 to 1979 of the family's 2925-position model. The record is from RNAcentral.